This is a long non-coding RNA of Oreochromis niloticus (Nile tilapia), 2764 nucleotides long. RefSeq lists it as uncharacterized. The record is from RefSeq and is a predicted model, not a curated record. The transcript is spliced from 2 exons. Lineage: Eukaryota; Metazoa; Chordata; Actinopteri; Cichliformes; Cichlidae.
CCAGAAUCGCACGGUCCGGGUGAGCGCAACCGCGCGUUUGGGAGCCGGCAUCGGCGCAGCGUGAAGCAUAGAUCUGAAAAAUCAACACAUCAUGCCACGAUCUAAAGAAGCAGCUGAGAAACAAUGGAAAGACUUUGGGAGUCCAGUGAACCAAACAGGAACAGUGGUGAAGCUUCCCAGGAGUAUCAGGCUGACCAAAGUUACUCCAAGAGUAGAACCUGCAGGUCUCACUAGACUCGAUUAAGGUCAGAGGUCACACAGCUCCAGGUAGGUUGGCAUAACUUUUAGACCUUAAUAAAUGAAGCCAUUUAAAAAUUGCAUUUUGUCUAACAUUACAAAUGAAAAUACCAAUAAAUGAAAUGGGUGAAUGCUUGUUCACAGCACUGUUUCAGUAUAACAGUGUAUAGUAUAACAGUAUAACAGAGACAAACCUGUCUCUUAAUUUCAUUUUUCUGACUGCUGAUGAGUUCCAGCAGGAUCUGUUGACAAGUAUUUGCACAUGAGGCAUAUGAACACCGAGGGUUCAACCAGCGUGACAGCGAGGAAAAGAGAGGGUGAGGACUCUGCGAUGCCCAUGGCUGUUGCAGUGACAUUCAAGCCUUCUCUCCACAGCUGGAUGUUUUAGUGCUUGCUGACUCAAGGGACACCGCCAUCACCCGAGCAUUCACGAGGGAGCAGCCAUCAAGGCGUGACAUUGAGGACCUUGGGGAGCAGUGCCCGUGAAAUAGCUCAUUGCAGGUGUCCGAGGAGGAACGCCGGUGCUUCUGCAGAGGACAGUAAAGUUCCUCUAGAGACUAAUGUUUCUGUGUAAUGUGCCCGACCUUGGGAAGAGCUCUGCUGAGGAGCAGGAGUGUGAUGACGCUCCUCCCUCCAUCUGAUCACCACACUGAGCAACAGCCACCGUCGCUCCUCACUGUUAGCCCUUUGGUAUGUUGGUGAAGCUCGGUGCAUGCGUAAUCCCAUUUUCCAGCUCACUUCCUGCCGUUUUCCCAUUGGCUGCCCAGAGCGUGUGGCAUCCCGGAGCUCUGACCCUUCAAAUUUCACUCCAGCUGCUGCAGAAAUGUAGUAGAUGGAACAUCACGCUGGCCUUAGUUUCUGUUUAGUCUGCAAAGCCAAUAAUUUUAGGGCAAAUUGGCAAAACAGGAAAGGUGGCAUUUGGAUUUCUGUCAGUGCAUCUGAUUUGGGAAUAUAACAGUGUUUGUUGACCAAGUGGUUUAAAGUACCAAGUCCCACUGCCUGGCCACCACUGGGAUUUAACUAAGCAAAUAGGCAGCAUGUUUCCAUUGGAUAAUCAGUGCAGCUGGCAACAAGUUAUUUAACCCUCGCCGAUGCAGUGAGAAGUUGCUGAGUCAUUCCUACUAUUCAGUGCCAUUUCAAGAUGGCAUUAUUGUGUCAAAUAAUUCAACUUUCCAUUAUUUUGUUUGUUAAACUGUUAGAAAAAUAUACAAGUCCACAUUCUCAUUGCAGGACACAGGUCAAAGGUUUCCCCCUGUACAAUUUUAUUUUUAGCCACUUUUGCUCAUGUGAUGAACAACAGGCUCAUGAGGACAAGAUUUUUUGCAACCAUAUGUUCAAAAUGACAAAUAUGACAGGUUACACUAUAGAUGACACAUCAGCGAACCACUAAAACAUGAUGAAAAGAAGUUGAUGAAAGCGUGACGAUUACCCUGGUCUUGAGUUAUCUUCCUGGUUUAAAUAAAAGAUUUGCAUUGCAGGCAUUUUAUUUUUCAGUAUGAAAUGGGGUUGCAUUUAUAUAUCAUUUUUCUUACCUCAGUUUGCAUCGACACUUUGGUCAAUUUAGAAUCAACCAGUUAACCUAACAUGCAAACGGACCAUGGUAGGAAGCUUGAGUAGACCCAUACAGGCACAGGGAGCAUAUGCAAACACCCCAUAGAAAGGUGACAGAGCUAAAUAGCCAAUUAUAAAAACCUCAAACAGGCAAGGCUUCUGGGGCAUGAGGCCAUGAAGGUCAGACUGAGAGAGCAAUCUUAGAAACCCUGUUAGAGUUGGACCAGCCUUAUUUAAUAGAUUAUGAUAAACAUGCACUGAUGGGGAAACACUGUAUGCUUCAGAACUGCGUGAUGUUAUGUCUUGACGUGUCGGGUCUUAUGAGAUUUUCAUACCAAUGUUAAUCUGAUUGAUGCAUCUGUGGCCCUCUCACCAACAUAAGAUCGUAGUGUCUGAAAUCAGAGCUCUGUAACACAACCCAGUUACUUUCAACAGCCAGACACUGAUGCCACGGUUAAACAAAGGGUACAGUACUGAGCAAAUACAGGCUUUCGGUUACCCCAGGACCUCUGAUAGUUUGUUACCUCACUGAAAACAAGACGGGAACAUUUGCUGGCAGAAGAGAGGAACCCUUCCUAGACGACCAGAAUUAAAAAUCAGCAGGAACUGACGAUUUUCACAGCACGAUUUAGGAGAUUAAUUCUGCACCACAUUCGUCUCCACUCGGAUCUUUUUUUAGACUCCUUUGGGUACAUUAGUUUGUCAUUUCCAGUGCAUGUGUGAAUGACAAACUUCCAACUGAAAAGAAAAUGGCUCGAUCUGCGUUUCUAACAUUCAGUUAAAACAUGCACCCCACCCCAAGUUUUGAAUUUAUUUAUUUUUAGUCGUUGGUAGCUUUACUUUUUUCUUCUCCUUUAAAUCGAUCUAUUGAUCUCCUAGGAUUUUCCUACAUAACCAUCUUUAAGGUUUACAGAGAAUGGUGUGAGCCCAAUUGCUUUAAGCUGAUAGGAAGAAAACAGUAACUCAAAUAACCACU